RNAcentral lists this ribosomal RNA (949 nucleotides) under Phellinus robiniae. RNAcentral describes it as "LSU rRNA". It matches the Rfam family "Eukaryotic large subunit ribosomal RNA", at positions 40 to 954 of the family's 3401-position model. Lineage: Eukaryota; Fungi; Basidiomycota; Agaricomycetes; Hymenochaetales; Hymenochaetaceae. The record is from RNAcentral.
AUAUCAAUAAGCGGAGGAAAAGAAACUAACAAGGAUUCCCCUAGUAACUGCGAGUGAAGCGGGAAGAGCUCAAAUUUAAAAUCUGGCGGCCUUCGGUCGUCCGAGUUGUAACCUGGAGAGGCAUUUUCCGCGUUGGACCGUGUACAAGUCUCCUGGAAUGGAGCGUCGUAGAGGGUGAGAAUCCCGUCCAUGACACGGACGUCCCAAUGCUCUGUGAUGUGCCUUCGAAGAGUCGCGUUGUUUGGGAAUGCAGCGCAAAAUGGGUGGUAAAUUCCAUCUAAAGCUAAAUAUUGGCGAGAGACCGAUAGCGAACAAGUACCGUGAGGGAAAGAUGAAAAGCACUUUGAAAAGAGAGUUAAACAGUACGUGAAAUUGUUGAAAGGGAAACGCUUGAAGUCAGUCGCGUUCCGUGGAACUCAGCCUUACCUCGGUUCGGUGUACUUUCCAUGUGAACGGGUCAACAUCAAUUUUGGCCGGCGGACAAAGGCGAGGGGAAUGUGGCGUCGCUUCGGGGACGUGUUAUAGCCCCUUGUUGUAUGCGCCGGCCGGGAUUGAGGACCGCAGCACGCCCUCUGUGGCCGGGGGGGUUCGCCCCCUACGUACCGUGCUUAGGAUGUUGGCAUAAUGGCUUUAAGCGACCCGUCUUGAAACACGGACCAAGGAGUCUAACAUGCCUGCGAGUGUUCGGGUGGAAAACCCUUGCGCGUAAUGAAAGUGAAAGGUUGGGAACCCUUAGGUUCCUUAGGGGUGCACUGACGCCCGGCCCUGAAGUUCUCUGACGGUGCUGCGGUAGAGCAUGUAUGUUGGGACCCGAAAGAUGGUGAACUAUGCCUGAAUAGGGCGAAGCCAGAGGAAACUCUGGUGGAGGCUCGUAGCGAUUCUGACGUGCAAAUCGAUCGUCAAAUUUGGGUAUAGGGGCGAAAGACUAAUCGAACCAUCUAGUAGCUGG